Molecule: long non-coding RNA, 245 nt
Filed under: Carica papaya (papaya)
Lineage: Eukaryota; Viridiplantae; Streptophyta; Magnoliopsida; Brassicales; Caricaceae
Description: long non-coding RNA (CPAP_LNC000741)
Source: RNAcentral
GAUUAAUUCAAGUAAGAAAAUCUGAAAAAAAAAUAUUGGAUAGUUAAUAAUAUUAUUAAAAUAAACUAGAUUUUUUAUGAUGUUACAUAUAAUAUAGUAGUAGUAGCAUCAGUAGCAAUAGCAGUAUUAGUAGUAAUAGUAGUAAUAGUGCUAAUAGUAGUAGUAGCCGUAGUAAAAAUAGUAACAGUAGUAAUAAUAGCAGCUGUGGCGGUUGUAUUUGUAGUAUCUAUUGUAGCAGUAGUAAU